GUUAUUGUAGCUUAAUAAAGCAUAGCACUGAAAAUGCUAAAAUGGUGACGCACCCAAUAACA
RNAcentral lists this transfer RNA (62 nucleotides) under Achalinus meiguensis (Sichuan odd-scaled snake). RNAcentral describes it as "tRNA-Phe". It matches the Rfam family "tRNA". From Rfam's summary of the family: Transfer RNA (tRNA) molecules are approximately 80 nucleotides in length. Their secondary structure includes four short double-helical elements and three loops (D, anti-codon, and T loops). Further hydrogen bonds mediate the characteristic L-shaped molecular structure. tRNAs have two regions of fundamental functional importance: the anti-codon, which is responsible for specific mRNA codon recognition, and the 3' end, to which the tRNAs corresponding amino acid is attached (by aminoacyl-tRNA synthetases). tRNAs cope with the degeneracy of the genetic code in two manners: having more than one tRNA (with a specific anti-codon) for a particular amino acid; and 'wobble' base-pairing, i.e. permitting non-standard base-pairing at the 3rd anti-codon position. The record is from RNAcentral. Lineage: Eukaryota; Metazoa; Chordata; Lepidosauria; Squamata; Xenodermidae.